RNAcentral lists this ribosomal RNA (470 nucleotides) under Pelagonemertes sp. 545. RNAcentral describes it as "partial 16S ribosomal RNA". It matches the Rfam family "Bacterial large subunit ribosomal RNA", at positions 1880 to 2597 of the family's 2925-position model. Lineage: Eukaryota; Metazoa; Nemertea; Enopla; Monostilifera; Pelagonemertidae. The record is from RNAcentral.
AGUUUCUUGUAUUUUUUUUAGAAAUAUUUUCUGCUCAGUGAUUUUAAACAGCCGCGGUAGUUUGACUGUGCGAAGGUAGCAUAAUAAUUUGUCUUUUAAUUUAGGACUUGAAUGAAUGGAAGAACAUAGAACUUACUUUCUUCUAUUUUUAUGUAGAAUUUGUUUUUUUCGUGAAGAAACGAAAAUAUAGUAAAGGGACAAGAAGACCCUUUUGAGCUUUAUUUAAAUUUAUUUUAAAGAAAUAAGUUAAAUUUGGUUGGGGCGAUUAAGGAAGAAAAAAUCUUCUUUCUAAAUUAUAUUUUUGAUCCUUAGGUUUUGAUUAUAAGAUUAAGUUACCAAAGGGAUAACAGCAUAAUUUUUUUUGAAAGUUCUUAUUUAAAAAAAAGAUUGUGACCUCGAUGUUGACUUUUAGUUAACCCAUUUGGCGAAGUAGCUUUGUUAAGGGGGGUCUGUUCGACCCUUAAAUUUAA